This 59-nucleotide ribosomal RNA is filed under the name Solanum limbaniense. Lineage: Eukaryota; Viridiplantae; Streptophyta; Magnoliopsida; Solanales; Solanaceae. The record is from RNAcentral.
UGGGGCGAGAGUAGUACUAGGAUGGGUGACCCCCUGGGAAGUCCUCGUGUUGCAUCCCU